Cinara cedri is the source of this 215-nucleotide non-coding RNA. Lineage: Eukaryota; Metazoa; Arthropoda; Insecta; Hemiptera; Aphididae. The record is from the annotation of a GenBank genome assembly.
AGCUCCAAAUUGAUAAGUAAAUUUUACUCUAAAUUUAUUCUAAGUGUCUAAUAAAACAAAAAUGUUGAGAUGAGCUGCACUGAAAUUCGUAUUAAAAUAUUACUGUUGUUAUCGGUAAAAUAUUACUGUGGACACAAUUAUUCAAAUAGAUACUUAUUUAAGCAAUAAGAUAUUCAGGGACUCAACUCCAGUAUUCCCUAAAAUGUAAAUCGUCC